CAGGUCCGCUGGCGGGAGCCGGGGUGUCCGGGGCGCCCUGGGCCGGGAAGCAGGGACGGACAGGUGCUGCUCCAGCCAAGGGGCAAAGUGGGGGAGGCGGGGCCGGGGCUGGCGGGGCUGCCUGACUAAGUCCCUGUCCUGCCUUUUCCCAGUCUUGGGGCUCCUCCAGUGGGUGGCCGGUCGCUGGAAAGGCAAUGAGAAUGAACAAGGCAGCUUGGCACAUAGAUGGAACCGGCCCUGCGAGAUGCUGCCGCUCAGAGACCCGGAGAAUGAUGAAGUCGCCUCUCUAGACAGGAGUAGCCCGCUGGCGGUGAGGAAGGGCUCGGCCCUGGCGCUGGAGGCCGGCACCUGCCCGGAGCCCUCCCAGGCCCCUGGGCAGAGCUGUGAGCUGCAGGAGGUGGUGGCCGAGGGAGGGCCAGCAGCCCCAGAGCGGAUGCUGCAGACGGAGGCUCCCGAGGCCUAGGGAGCCCAGGCCCAGGCGGAGGUGUCGGCCUCCCUGGAGCAGCUGGAGCAGGUACGGGCUGGUCUGGGGACGCUGGAACAGCCUCUCGAACUCCACCCCCGGGCGCAGAGGACGUCCCUGUGCCUCCAGGAAUGGGCGCAAACUCUUCCUUUGCGGCUUUGUUUUUUGCAGCCACCGAGAGGGUCUACUGUGAGUUCGGACGUAAGGUUCCAGAAAGCAGCUGGAAGAUGUUUCGGGACUUAAUUGGACUUGAAGGAGACGACAAACACCCAGGGCCUUUGGAAGAGCUCCUUAGCGGAGGAGGGAGCAAGGGAGGGACGUUCCUACUUGUAAACUCACGGCUGGCCUCCAUGUAAUGCAGCUGCAUGUAUAUUUGCAAAAUAUUGUCGGUGAUUUGGUUGCUGCUAAUACCUUACCUGGGCGUGCAGAGAUGCCCCAGUGAGCUCCACUGGGGGCCUGUCCGCAGGGUGCUGGAUGCCUAGGGUCCGAGCUGCCUUUGCAGUCCUGAUCCCAUCCCAGAUGUACUUUCUUUUGUUUUGUUUUGUUUGUUUUGUCUUUUGUCUUUCUAGGGCUACACCCAUGGCCUGUCGGGGUUUCUAGGCUAGGGCUCUAAUCAGAGCUGUUGCUGCCGGCCUCCUUUUCUCUCCUACAGACUAUGGAGAUGGCUUCCUGUCAAAGUUUGCUUUCCUUCUAGUUUAGGCCAAUCCAUUCAGCCUCCACAGGGCAACUGGGAUGCGAGUACUAAUCACAAUUCCAGUCAAUCUGCUGCAUCUCUGCCGUGCUUGACUUUGUUUCAAGAAGCCCCAGCCCUAGCCCGUGUCCCAAGCCCCAGGCUCAACAGGGCUGCUCCACAUUUCCUGGCGUCACACUGGAUUACUUGGUGGCUGGCUCCUGUUGGGGUCACUUUCAGGACAGUCCCCUCUGCAUAGAAUCCACUUCCCAUCUGGCCGCAGUGUUCCUCUGGAAGCCUCCUUCCAACUGGUCCUUCCUCCCUGGCCCU
This 1463-nucleotide long non-coding RNA is filed under the name Sus scrofa (pig). Its description in RNAcentral is "lncRNA (ENSSSCG00070014811.1)". The record is from RNAcentral. Lineage: Eukaryota; Metazoa; Chordata; Mammalia; Artiodactyla; Suidae.